CAGUAGGGAUCUUCCGCAAUGGACGAAAGUCUGACGGAGCAAUGCCGCGUGAGUGAAGAAGGUUUUCGGAUCGUAAAACUCUGUUGUUAGAGAAGAACAAGGAUGAGAGUAACUGCUCAUCCCCUGACGGUAUCUAACCAGAAAGCCACGGCUAACUACGUGCCAGCAGCCGCGGUAAUACGUAGGUGGCAAGCGUUGUCCGGAUUUAUUGGGCGUAAAGCGAGCGCAGGCGGUUCUUUAAGUCUGAUGUGAAAGCCCCCGGCUCAACCGGGGAGGGUCAUUGGAAACUGGAGAACUUGAGUGCAGAAGAGGAGAGUGGAAUUCCAUGUGUAGCGGUGAAAUGCGUAGAUAUAUGGAGGAACACCAGUGGCGAAGGCGACUCUCUGGUCUGUAACUGACGCUGAGGCUCGAAAGCGUGGGGAGCAAACAGGAUUAGAUACCCUGGUAGUCCACGCUGUAAACGAUGAGUGCUAAGUGUUGGAGGGUUUCCGCCCUUCAGUGCUGCAGCUAACGCAUUAAGCACUCCGCCUGGGGAGUACGACCGCAAGGUUGAAACUCAAAGGAAUUGACGGGGCGGCG
RNAcentral lists this ribosomal RNA (579 nucleotides) under Carnobacterium sp. Its description in RNAcentral is "bacterial SSU rRNA". It matches the Rfam family "Bacterial small subunit ribosomal RNA", at positions 352 to 923 of the family's 1533-position model. Lineage: Bacteria; Bacillati; Bacillota; Bacilli; Lactobacillales; Carnobacteriaceae. The record is from RNAcentral.